Molecule: ribosomal RNA, 93 nt
Filed under: Phascolarctobacterium sp. CAG:266
Lineage: Bacteria; Bacillati; Bacillota; Negativicutes; Acidaminococcales; Acidaminococcaceae
Source: RNAcentral
CACCUGUUCCCAUCCCGAACACAGAAGUUAAGCCCUUAUACGUCGAAAGUACUUGGCUGGAAGCGGCCCGGGAGGAUAGAUAGCUGCCGGUUU